UGGUCAAGUUAUUAAGGGUGCAGGGCGGAUGCCUUGGCACUAGGAGCCGAUGAAGGACGUGAUAAGCUGCGAUAAGCUUCGGGGAGUUGCACGUAAACUUUGAUCCGAAGAUUUCCGAAUGAGGAAACUCACUUAGAGUAAUGUCUAAGUAUCAUUAAGUGAAUACAUAGCUUAAUGAGGGGAACUCAGGGAACUGAAACAUCUAAGUACCUGAAGGAAGAGAAAGAAAUUCGAUUCCGUAAGUAGCGGCGAGCGAACGCGGAUUAGCCCAAACCAAUAAAGUUUUCUUUAUUGGGGUUGCGGACAUAUCAUAACGAAGAGGUAUCGUAAUUGAAGAGGUUUGGAAAGACCCACCACAGAAGGUAAUAGUCCUGUAUGUUAAACGAGAAGACUUCAGAUAUGAUCCAGAGUACCACGGGACACGUGAAACCCUGUGGGAAGCAGGAGGGACCACCCUCCAAGGCUAAAUACUACCUAGUGACCGAUAGCGUAUAGUACCGUGAGGGAAAGGUGAAAAGAACCCCGGGAGGGGAGUGAAAUAGAACCUGAAACCCUGCACUUACAAGCUGUGGAAGCACAUUUCUUGUGUGACCGCGUACUUUUUGUAGAACGGGCCAACGAGUUACGUUAAGUAGCAAGGUUAAGCACUUAAGGUGCGGAGCCGUAGCGAAAGCGAGUUUUAACUGAGCGUUCAGUUACUUGACGUAGACCCGAAACCGGGCGACCUACCCAUGAGCAGGAUGAAGCGAAAGUAAAAUUUCGUGGAGGUCCGAACCCACGAGCGUUGAAAAGCUCGGGGAUGACUUGUGGGUAGCGGUGAAAUUCCAAUCGAGCCCGGAGAUAGCUGGUUCUCCCCGAAAUAGCUUUAGGGCUAGCCUCAAGGUGAGAGAUACGGAGGUAGAGCACUGAAUGUCCUAGGGGGUAUUGCACCUACCGAAGACUAUCAAACUCCGAAUGCCGUCAUCUUAUACUUGGGAGUCAGACUGUGGGUGAUAAGAUUCAUAGUCGAAAGGGCAACAGCCCAGAUCGUCAGCUAAGGUCCCUAAAUGUAAGUUAAGUGGUAAAGGAUGUGGGAUUGCACAGACAACCAGGAUGUUGGCUUAGAAGCAGCCACUCAUUCAAAGAGUGCGUAAUAGCUCACUGGUCGAGUGAUCCUGCGCCGAAGAUUUCCGGGGCUAAAACUUACUACCGAAGCUACGGCAUCAGUAAUGAUGGGUAGGGGAGCUUCCCAUACGGGUUGAAGCAUGACCGUAAGGACAUGUGGACAGUAUGGGAGUGAGAAUGUUGGCAUGAGUAGCGAGAUGUGGGUGAGAAUCCCACAGGCCGUAAACCCAAGGUUUCCAGGGGAAGGUUCGUCCGCCCUGGGUUAGUCGGGACCUAAGCUGAGGCCGAAAGGCGUAGGUGAUGGACAACAGGUUGAUAUUCCUGUACUACCGAUAACCGUUUGAGAGAAGGGAUGACACAGUAGGAUAAGCUAAGCACACUGUUGGUUAUGUGUGCCCAAGCAUUGAGGCAGUCAAAGUAGGCAAAUCCGCUUUGAUAAUGCUGGGAUGUGAUGGGGAGCGAAAUUUAGUAGCGAAGUAGCUGAUUUCACACUGUCAAGAAAAGUCUCUAUCGAGGUUAAAGGUACCCGUACCGCAAACCGACACAGGUGGGUGAGGAGAGUAUCCUAAGGCCAGCGAGAGAACUGUUGUUAAGGAACUCGGCAAAAUGACCCCGUAACUUAGGGAUAAGGGGUGCCACCAUCAGGUGGCCGCAGAGAAUAGGCCCAAGCGACUGUUUACCAAAAACAUAGGUUUCUGCUAAGUCGCAAGACGAUGUAUAGGAGCUGACGCCUGCCCGGUGCUGGAAGGUUAAGGGGAUCUGUUAGAGCAAUCGAAGCAGUGAACUUAAGCCCCAGUAAACGGCGGCCGUAACUAUAACGGUCCUAAGGUAGCGAAAUUCCUUGUCGGGUAAGUUCCGACCCGCACGAAAGGCGUAACGAUUUGGGCACUGUCUCAACAACAGACUCGGUGAAAUUGUAAUUCCGGUGAAGAUGCCGGAUACCUGCGACAGGACGGAAAGACCCCAUGGAGCUUUACUGUAGCUUGACAUUGGGUCUUGGUACUACAUGUACAGGAUAGGUGGGAGGCUUUGAAACCAGGACGCCAGUUUUGGCGGAGCCAUCCUUGGGAUACCACCCUUGUAGUACUGGGACUCUAACCAUAGGCCAUGAAUCUGGUCUUGGGACACUGUCAGGUGGGCAGUUUGACUGGGGCGGUCGCCUCCCAAAAGGUAACGGAGGCGCUCAAAGGUUCUCUCAGUACGGUCGGAAAUCGUACGUAGAGUGUAAAGGCAAAAGAGAGCUUGAUUGCAAGACAUACAGGUCGAGCAAGGAUGAAAAUCGGACUUAGUGAUCCGGUGGUUCUGCGUGGAAGGGCCAUCGCUCAACGGAUAAAAGCUACCCUGGGGAUAACAGGCUUAUCUCCCCCAAGAGUCCACAUCGACGGGGAGGUUUGGCACCUCGAUGUCGGCUCAUCACAUCCUGGGGCUGUAGUAGGUCCCAAGGGUUGGGCUGUUCGCCCAUUAAAGUGGUACGCGAGCUGGGUUCAGAACGUCGUGAGACAGUUCGGUCCCUAUCCGUCGCAGGCGUAGGAAAUUUGAGAAGACCUGUCCUUAGUACGAGAGGACCGGGAUGGACGUACCUCUGGUGUACCAGUUGUCCUGCCAAGGGCAUGGCUGGGUAGCUAUGUACGGAAUGGAUAAGCGCUGAAAGCAUCUAAGCGCGAAGCCAACUUCAAGAUAAGAUUUCCCACCGCAAGGGUAAGACCCCAGAAAGACUAUCUGGUUGAUAGGUCGAAGGUGUAAGUGCAGCAAUGUAUUUAGCUUAUCGAUACUAAUAGGUCGAGGACUUGACCAAAUU
This 2902-nucleotide ribosomal RNA is filed under the name Clostridioides difficile. Its description in RNAcentral is "23S ribosomal RNA". It matches the Rfam family "Bacterial large subunit ribosomal RNA". The record is from RNAcentral. Lineage: Bacteria; Bacillati; Bacillota; Clostridia; Peptostreptococcales; Peptostreptococcaceae.